ACUCCUACGGGAGGGCAGCAGUGGGGAAUGAUUGGACAAUGGGCGAAAGCCUGAUCCAGCCAUGCCGCGUGUGUGAAGAAGGCCCUUCGGGUUGUAAAGCACUUUCAGUGAGGAAGAACGCUUGUGGGUUAAUACCCUGCAAGAGAGACAUUCACUUCACAGAAGAAGCACCGGCUAACUCCGUGCCAGCAGCCGCGGUAAUACGGAGGGUGCGAGCGUUAAUCGGAAUUACUGGGCGUAAAGCGCGCGUAGGCGG
RNAcentral lists this ribosomal RNA (256 nucleotides) under uncultured bacterium. RNAcentral describes it as "partial 16S ribosomal RNA". It matches the Rfam family "Bacterial small subunit ribosomal RNA", at positions 335 to 578 of the family's 1533-position model. The record is from RNAcentral.